AGAAGACAAUAAAUCUAGUUUCCUGCACUUAAUGGGAAAUUCUGGAGAACUGAUCAUAAGACUCUGGAGGCGUGAAUUUAAAUUUGAUUAAUUAAACCACAUUAAGACUUUCAUUAACCCCACUCAGUAUUAAAAUUCCCUAAUAUUACAUAUUUAAUUGGCUUCCCAAAUAAAUUUAACCACACUUAGUGGAAGUCAUUUUAAUACUGUUAAGAGUAUUAACACUGGAAGUGAAUGCGACAAACCUAAAUCACCACCAUCAUUUUCCACUUGAACAAGAUGUCAUAAAAGGCAGAAAGUAUUUAAAUAUCUGUGCAAAAAUUACAAGUCUACAUGUUAGGACAAAGACAAUACUUCAAAAUCCAAAGAUUAUCAUAUAUACAUUUCCUGCAUUUUUUUAUGUUGUCAGAUACUCCCUGAUGUCAUGUUCAAUUCUUCUUCCUCUGGAUGUUAUUCAUACAUCUCAAGGGUGGGCACUUCUUACUCAGAUGUCUAUCCUCCACAUCUGCCCUACUGUACAUCUCUGUGCAAGAAAGACUAUGAGGUCCAGGACAUAGACCUGAACAUCCAAUUAUGGUCAUCUCUAAUCCUGGGAAUUUCAGUCCCAGGAAGCCUUUGGCCUUGCCUAGUUAGCAGCCUUCCAGAAGUCUGUAGGUAUUAUUCAGAAGGAGUCUGUUCCAUGGACUAUUCCCCAUGGGACAUUUAGAUUCAGCAACUCUAUUUCUGGAGAAUUGGUUGAGCUCUGUAAAGGUAAGGGGACUUGAGAAUAUGUUUAAAUACUUUGCAGCGUAACAGGAGCCUGAAGAACUGAGACCUGGGAACAUUUCCACUGAGUUCAUUGGGAAUAUUUGGAUGUUGUAUAGCUAAGCAUGAGUGUAAAUUUUGCAGAUUGGAUCUUUAAUAGAAUUUCUCGUCUGAAGAAAUGCUAUUUUGUUUGAGACAGUUUGGCAAAAGUAAUUAUGUAGUAGACAAUAUAA
Long non-coding RNA from Gallus gallus (chicken), 977 nucleotides. NCBI's taxonomy places the organism in Eukaryota, Metazoa, Chordata, Aves, Galliformes, Phasianidae. The record is from Ensembl.